This 248-nucleotide ribosomal RNA is filed under the name uncultured Actinomycetales bacterium. RNAcentral's name for it is "partial 16S ribosomal RNA". It matches the Rfam family "Bacterial small subunit ribosomal RNA", at positions 84 to 334 of the family's 1533-position model. The record is from RNAcentral. Lineage: Bacteria; Bacillati; Actinomycetota; Actinomycetes; Actinomycetales.
GGGGUGCUCGAGUGGCGAACGGGUGAGUAACACGUGAGUAACCUGCCCUUGACUUUGGGAUAACUUCAGGAAACUGGGCUAAUACCGGAUAGGAGCUCCUGCUGCAUGGUGGGGGUUGGAAAGUUUCGGCGGUUGGGGAUGGACUCGCGGCUUAUCAGCUUGUUGGUGGGGUAGUGGCUUACCAAGGCUUUGACGGGUAGCCGGCCUGAGAGGGUGACCGGCCACAUUGGGACUGAGAUACGGCCCAG